CCCACCCCUCCCCUCUCCAGGGAUCACCAGGGACUUCAGAGGAAGUAUUUGUUCUAAUCCUUUCUGGAAAUGGCCUUUGAUAUUUUCUUACUCUGUGUGUGUCUUACUCUGUGUGAUGAUCACCCUAGAAUUGACUUUUUUUUUCCUGUCUCUCUCUCUCUCUUGCCUGGCAAAUGAACUAAUAGCUUAGGAGGGGGAGUGGCUCUUGCCAAAUAAUAGAAAUAUUUCUCUUUCAGUUUAACCGUUGACCCAGCUUGCCAGGAAGCAUGGCCUUUCAAAAGAAAAAUCUAUGAAAUUCUUGUGGGCAAGAUCCUGGAUUUGCAGGGGGCAUCGUUGUAAAUGCCAGUUGCUGGGCUCCUGAAUGGCCACGGCUCUCUACCCUCCCAAGCCCAUGUCACUGACCAACUCAGCACACGUGGGCAUUCUGCUUUUUCUGUGAAUUGAAGUCAUGCCCCUCUUCUCUGUCUUCCUUUCUUUUUCUGCUUGUCACACAACUGGGUGACAAGACCAGUUUUCAAGGUUGUGAUGAUAGUGAGGACUCCUCCCCUGUCCCUCCCUCCCCCAGGCUGCUCUGUGACUGAUCCCUGGAGAGACUGAGAAGGUGGGAGGUGGGAAGAGAGCAGUUGGGAAAAGGGAACUGGAUGGAGAGGGAAGCUACCAGAAGGUUCCUGUCUGUACCACUGGGAAUUGACCCAAAGAACCACGGAAACAAAAUAGUUGCCAGUAAAAAGUAGCAUCAUGGACUCGAUGACUUUAACCACUGAGUCCCCAGGACCUAAGUUAAAAUGGUGUUAAGUAGAUUUGUACUGGAGGACACUUAAAGCAAGAGGCUACAUCUCCUGGCUUUCUGACACUUUUAGGGCUCAAGCAGUGCUGGGGUUUUUCUCUUAAGGAAGGAGAGAAGAGGGAAGAGGAAGGAGGCCAGCUUGGGCUCCACUGGCUGUGGCUGAUGUGCCUUUCCUCCAGCUGCGGAGCACUUUCUGAGUGAUGAAUGAUACAGAACCAUGCCUCCUGCAGCCAGCUGGCCCUGCACCAGGUCUUUGUAAGCCCCAGCCAGAGGCAGCUUUGGUCUCCUGCCAGGAUUGAGGCUGUAGGAGCAAGUCUCAGGUUCUCAGGCCUCACACGGGGCUCUUCCCAGCUCACAGCUGUGGCAGCCCAGACCAGGGUCCUCUAAGUCUCUGUAAGCCUCCUUCAGAGGACCUUUGCAGGCAAGGUCUGCUCUGCUCCCUCUGCCUGUGUGUGUGUGUGUGUGUGUGUGUGUGUGUGUGUUUGCUUUGGCAGACUCUAGGUACUGCUCUCUCCUCCACUCUCAUCUCUUUGAUCCUAAGGCCCCCCCUGUUGCUUAUUUCUUGUCCCUGGAGGUACAGAACAUAUGCUUUCUUUGGAAGAAAGAUCUAGAGGAUGUGUUAGGUCAUUUAAUGGGGGGGGGGAUAUAGGGGGGCAUGGGAUAGGGGAGCAUCUAGAUUAACUGAGCAGUGUGUCUUAAAAUCUUUUGUACCUGUCACUUUGUCAGCUGUAUUUUACUAAACCAGCCUGGCAAAGACAACUGGCAGGCAUGAGAGACUUGGUUACAGUAACACAGAGUUGGGUCAUUGUCUUUCCUGCUCUGAUGAUGCCUGCGUUUUCAUAGUUUAACGGCUUUGCAUUAGAGAGGCAAGCAUUUUUGUAUUUUAAUAAUUGAUGCAUGUUACACAUUGAUAGGCCUUUUUCUUUUCUUUUCUUCUCUUUUGUUUUCUUUUGUUUUCUUUUCUUUUCUUUUCCUUUCCUUUCCUUUCCUUUCCUUUCCUUUCCUUUCCUUUCUUUUCCUUUCUUUUCUUUUCCCUUUCCUUUUUUUUUUUUUUUUUGACAACAUUUUGCUAUGUAACUAAGGUUGGCCUCAAACUCAGGAUCCUGCCAGAGCCUCCCAAGUGCUGGGAUCAUAUGUAUGCUCUCACACCCAUCUGAUUGCUGGUGGUGUUUCUAUUCAUUCUCAUUCUUUCUCUCUUGGAAGUAUCUCGUGUGGCUCAGGAUGGCUUCAGACUCACUCACUAGUUAAAGAUGACCUUGAAUGCCCAGUUGGUAAUGUAGAGAUGAAGGAUCCAACCCAGAACCCCAUGCGUGUUAAACAUGCUCUAACCUCUGAGCCACACCCUUAGCUUCAACGUACUUUCUCUCUUUCCUUCUUCCUUCCUUUCUUCUUUUCUUUUCUUUUCUUUUCUUUUCUUUUCUUUUCUUUUCUUUUCUUUUCUUUUCUUUCUUUCUUUCUUUCUUUCUUUCUUUCUUUCUUUCUUCCUUUCUUCCUUCCUUCCUUCCUUCCUUCCUUCCUUCCUUUCUUUUUUUUGGUAGUGGGCAAAAUAAUGUUUCUUACAGUAGAUGGAAUAUUAGAUAUGAUGAAAUAUGGUGAAUAAUUUUGGCCAGAAAAUGUCUCCAUUUAUUUCCCCAGGGUUUUGGUUUUGGUGUUUUUGUGGGGGGGUGGGGGGUACAAUGACAUGGGGCUUGGUACAUAUAGAUGAAUCUAUGAGAACUUUUCUAAACUUCAAUUUUGCAUGUGUGUGGGAGGUAUGCAUGUGUGUGUGGGAGGUGUGCAUGUGUGUGUGGGAGGUGUGCAUGUGUAGACAUCAUAGACUAAUUUAUAGGAGUCAGCUCUCUCCUUCCUCCAUGUUGAAUCCCACCCAGGGAUUGAACUCGGGUCUUCAGACAUGAAGACGAAUGUAUUUACACACUGAACUAUUUCCCCAGCCCAGAAUAAUAUUUUUUAUAAUCAACUUAUUUUGAAAUGUGUAUCUAAUCACCAUAAUAAAGAUUUCAAAUGUAAGGGGUAGAUUUCCACAAAGGAAGAAAGGAGCAGGCCCAGGCAGCCUGGGUUCUGGUCCUGCUUUGGUUCUAAGUGACCAUAAGACCUUGGGUAGGUAUCCUCUUUGCAACUUCUCCUUUCUCCCUGUGAAAUGAUGGGGAGGAGUUGGCCACUGGACAAGGCUCCCGUUUCCUUUCUACCCUUCUUUAACUGUAACUCAGUGUAAAAGCUGGGGUCCUGGUGGCAAGCCAGGUUAGUCUUCCUCAGAGAGUGGUUAUAUCAAAAGGAUCGGUAAGAACUUGUCAUGGUCCCCUGUGAGCAGAUGGUCUCAUAAUAUAAGUGAGCAGGAAUAGUCUUUGAGUGGCCCUGAACUACCUGAAACUGUGAUCCUUCCCACAAGCUCAAGGUCCCCAUCUUGAGCACCAGUGACCUUAUUUGAAAACAAGUACUUUAAAGCUAGGUGCAUACCCUUUAUGUAAGCACAGAAGCAGGCAGACCUCUGAGUUUGAGGGCAACCUGGUUACAGAGCAAGUUCCAGGAUAGCUAGGGCUACAUAAAGAGGCCUGUCUUAACAACAAACAAAUGAAAUAAAGAAAUAAAGGAAUAAAUGGAGGGGGGGGACUUGAUUGAGUUAAAGUGAUAUCAUUAGUAUACACUGUAAUCCAGUAUUAUUGUAUUGUAGAAAAAUGGAAACUCUGGGCACAGAGACAGACAAGUGUGCAUAAAAAAGGGCAGUGUGAACCUGAGAUUUGGUGGUGCAGCUACAAGCCAAGGAACACCAAAGAUAGCCAGGAAACCACAGAAACCAGAUGAUCAGUGGUAGAUUCCCUCUCUCAGCCUUCGGAAGGAACCACUUACAGUCUGCUGAUACCUUAGAUUCCAGGACUGUGGGGUAGUAAAUUUCUAUGUUUAAGCCACUCCACUGAUGGAACUUUGUCCUGGCAGCCCUGGGAAACUGUGGGCUCAACUGAGGGCACAUUGCUUUAUUUGAUUCCUCACGGUCCUAUUGGCUGUUUCCCUAGGGACCAGAGUGAUACAGUAAUAGGAUGGAAAAGGCUUACCUUUGCUUUGACAGGGAGGGCUAAGAUUAAUCACAAACAAACAAGUGUGUCCUGUGUCAUGGUAAAACGUGAGAUGGGAAAAAAACAAGGGUUGGUGGGCAGCAUGGAGUUAAUACAUUAUGUAGAUGUGAUAGUUAGUAUUGAUUUCCUGUCUAGUUUCACCCUGUUGUUGUGAUAAAACACUCUAAUUUGGGGAUGAAACAGCUUAUUUGGCUUAUACUUCUGGAUCUCAGUUUGUUAUUGAGGGAAGUCAGGGAUGGAACUCAAGGUGGAUGCUUGAUGCAGACCGUGUGAAUGAAUUCUGUUUGCUGGUUUCUUUUCUUGCACACUUCUAGGUUAUCCUUAUCUAGCUUUCUCAUACAGCCCAAGGCGGCCUGCCUAGGGAUUGGUGCCGCUCACAGCGGACUGGGUCCUUCUACAUCAAUUAACAAUUAAGACAACAAAUACUUAACCCCUACCGACAUGCUUGCAAGAUAUUCUGAUAUAGGCAAUUCCUCCUCAGCUGAAGUUUCUCUUCCAAAGUGAUGGUAGGGUGUUUCAAGUUGACAGUAAAAACUAAGGCGCACGAUUGUCAGUUUCACACGAUCUAGAGUCAUUCAAGAAAUAAACCUCUGGGCAUGUCUUCGAGAGAGUUCUUAGGUUGAGUUAAGGGAAAAUUCACCCUAAGUGUUGUGGAUUUUAUGACUCUUGUAAUCACUGACAUACUUUGUUUUGAGACAGGGUCUCAUACUGUAGCUCAGGGUGGCCUCAAACGCACGGCAAUUCUCCUGCCUUAGCCUCCCUAGUUCUGGGAUUACCCAAGGUGAACCACUGAAACUAUCUAUCAAUCAUUGACAUCUUGACGGAAACCUUGAAGAGGUGCUCAUUUAGCCUCUAGGGUGUGUCCAAUCUGUGGUCCGAGGGCCACAUACAUCCCCAGAUAGUUAUAAAUGUAUAUUUGGAUAUUUUUAUAGAUGGAAACCUGUUACAAUGUCAAAAGGCUGGAUACUGCUGUAGCUAUGUGAUGUCAUAUCAAGGGAGCCAGUGUGGUACCACUAAAUAGGAAGCUCAAUUCUAGACUGAGAGUCAGAGUAAAGACUAGGGAAAUCACAGCCAUAAAAAUCAUCACAUGUCUGGCUAGCCCCGUCAGUGUUUGCAGAAGUCUGGGAGCUGGGGGUCAUUAUGUCACGAAAUGAUAAAAUAAAGCUUGGUGUAAAAUAAAGCCCAGAGCAUCCAGGAUGGGUGUAAUUCUCUUUUUAUGCUUUGAACAUCUGUGUUAUAAAUGAUAUUUUUCCUUGAACUUAAAAAGGGAAAGAUCCAAAAAUUAGUUUGGUCAAUAAAAUUGAAAAAGCUUAAAAAUAAUCCCAUCCACACUGGUUUGAAGGAAGAAAGCAUCUUCAUACUCUGGGGAGACUUUGAAUGAUGCCACGUUUUUGUAGGGUAAUUUGACAACACAAAUUAAAAGCCUUCAACUUGAGAAUAUUCUUGGAGAAAUUUUAAUUUUGGGAUGUACCCUUCUAUAGUAGUUCUUGGUGAUAGGUCCGAAGUUUUAUCCCCAAAAGUGUUUAUGGUAAUAUAAUUGAUAAUAGCAAGAUUGGCUAAUAUGGUGGCCUAUUGUCUGGCUAUUGAAAGGAAUGGUACUAAAUGAGAGUUUUCAAAUGUUUUAGUUUGUGUAUUCUUUCAGGACUCUGAUGGAGACAGUGAAGUCCAUUUUUGGUAAGAAAGUACAUAUGUGCUUAUAUAAAAUUCUUUUUAUACUCUCAGAGAAUUCAUGUACUAUGAAGUCCAUUCAUGCAGUUGGGGUGAAGACUCCAAGACUUAGAGCAGUUAUUGAUGACAUGGAUAAAUGGUCACAAAAGCAUAUCGACACACUGGCGUAGGGAUGGAAAGUAGGAGACUUGGGAGUGCUCUCCUGUAGGAUCCAAGACUUCUCAUCUUUCCGAUGCGAACUGAAUUAUGCUAGCAUGUCAACCAGGACAUUUCAGAGAAGCAUCGAACAGAAACGUGUUAGUAAACCUCUUACCAGAACACCCUCACUAUCGAUUUUUUUUUGUCACUAAAACACAAACCAGCAUGGGACAUUAAACAGGACCUUUGGUAUUUGGUGUUGGGAAAAUGCCCCCUUGGAUCUAGAGCUCUUUAGGAGUAAUGGCUUCCCGAAAAGAACUAUAGAGAAAAAGAAGGCAGAAUAACCCAGGUGCCUGAGCAUCUUUGAGGAGAGGUUGUCUGUACAGGUGUAUGAGGAAAAGAAAAUCUUAUUUAUGAAUGGAGUGUGGUGAUACACCCUAUCCCGAGCUUUUGUCCCCACCAGCAAGAACAUGCUCAGGACAACCGGAAUCUUCUGCGGCAAAAGCUUUAUUGCUUACUUCUUUAGGAACAAGAGGAGAAGAAUAGGGGCGAAUGGCAAAACCCUGUCCCUUUUAUGGAGGAUUGUCCUCCGCCUCGGACAUGUCGCUCCCUGAUUGGCUGCAGCCCAUCAACCGAGUUGUCGUCAAGGGGAAGGCAGAGCACAUGGAGUGGAGAACUACCCCGGCACAUGCGCAGAUUAUUUGUUUACUACUUAGAACACAGGAUGUCGGCGCCAUCUUGUAAUGGUGAAUGUGAGGGUGGCUCCUCACAACAUCCCUUUAAUCCCAGUACUGAAGGCAGAGGCAGGUGGAUUUCUGAGUCUGAAGACAGCCUGGUAUAGAGAGCUAGUUCCAGGGCUAUACAAGAAGACUCUGUCUUGCAAAAAAUGAAACAAAACAAAAUAAAACAAAUGAAUAAACAAAAAGAAAGAAGCUUCAAUUUUUAUAAAAUAAAAACUAAUUUAC
Molecule: long non-coding RNA, 6626 nt
Organism: Mus musculus (house mouse)
Lineage: Eukaryota; Metazoa; Chordata; Mammalia; Rodentia; Muridae
Product: predicted gene, 30262
Exons: 4
Source: RefSeq, a predicted model, not a curated record